UCCGUAGGGUGAACCUGCGGAGGGAUCAUUACACAAUACAAUAUGAAGGCUGUCCGCAGCUGGAGUAUUUUAUUACCCUUGUCUUUUGCGCACUUGUUGUUUCCUGGGCGGGUUCGCUCGCCACCAGGACCACCAAAUAAACCUUUUUUAUGCAGUUGCAAUCAGCGUCAGUACAAACAAUGUAAAUCAUUUACAACUUUCAACAACGGAUCUCUUGGUUCUGGCAUCGAUGAAGAACGCAGCGAAAUGCGAUACGUAGUGUGAAUUGCAGAAUUCAGUGAAUCAUCGAAUCUUUGAACGCACAUUGCGCCCUUUGGUAUUCCAAAGGGCAUGCCUGUUCGAGCGUCAUUUGUACCCUCAAGCUUUGCUUGGUGUUGGGCGUUUUUUGUCUUUGGUCGCCCAAAGACUCGCCUUAAAGUGAUUGGCAGCCGGCCUUUCUGGUUUCGCAGCGCAGCACAUUUUUGCGCUUGCCAUCAGCAAAACGGCAAUCCAUCAAGCCUCCUUCUCACGUUGACCUCGGAUCAGGUAGG
This 530-nucleotide ribosomal RNA is filed under the name Curvularia geniculata. RNAcentral describes it as "eukaryotic LSU rRNA". The stretch from base 195 to 348 matches the Rfam family "5.8S ribosomal RNA". Lineage: Eukaryota; Fungi; Ascomycota; Dothideomycetes; Pleosporales; Pleosporaceae. The record is from RNAcentral.